UCAUUUACAUUUCUUCAGUGAAAAAUUCACAAUAUCUCCCUUCGUAUUUAAUAAAAAUCUUGGGGGAGAUAAUUUGAGGCUGUAUGAAUACCUUAUUUUUCCUCAAACCUUUGCCCACUAAUUUUAGAAAUCAUCGGUUGAUCUUGCCUGCAACAAGUAUGAUCAUAUGAUUCUAAUAGUAAUUUCCUAGUUGCUUCAUUCCAUCUAUAUUUAUUUGUUGACAUUUUUCUGUAAAAAGAGCUGUCCUUCUCCAUUGACUUAUUCAAUUAUGUAUUGGUAUCAUUUUGGACUCAUGGACACUCAUUACAAUCCAAUACUCUCAUUAUUUAUUUUGUCAUUUAAAUUGUUCCUCUUUGGAUAUUGGAAGCCCUUUCAAGUCCUUUGAUAGGCCUCCCUCAUUAUUUUGGAGCACUUCCCUACUUUCUGGCACCUUGAGAUGUUACAGACUCAUAUUUUGUUUUCUCUAUCAUAGUCCUGGAAUUGAUCAUGUCUCCCGGAAGCCCUGGUUCCUUUAUUGGAGAAUGGUAUUUGCAACCCAAGAUCUGGGUGCUUAGAUGUACGUAUCAUCCCUGGGAUGUCGUCUCACAAGACCAAGCUAGGAAAUAUGCCAAUGCAUUCAUACACACUCAUAUAUUUAUUUCCUACUAUAUCAGAAAUCCAUCCAUUUCUUUGGGUACAUAUUUAAAAACCACGAAUUUCCACCAGUACCUCCAAUUCCAACCCCAAAUCUUGGGGUUCCUUUAGCCUCCCUUCUUUCCUGAUACUGUUAACAUUUUUCUCUGACAGCGAGAAAACUAGCUCUCAUUUAUCCACGAUAUAUUUGCCUAUUUCCUCAAGCCUGGCAUAAAAAUAGGAAGUUGUCACCCAUCUGCUUCUUUCUCUUUCCUAGGAGUUUCCAGAAAAAGUUCCAAGACAGGUUCUUACUAGGUUGGUUCUAUGCUCAACCUUGACCCAUUUACCGUGGCCCAAGGAAUGGAAUGACCUGACGAGUCUGGCCUGAGCUACAUGACCACUCCUGAGCGUGGGUGGGGGUGACUGUCCAUCUAAACCAUGAAUAAAUUCCAUGACAUGGCCUCGAGAUUCUGCUUGCUUCCAACAGGCUACUCUACCCAGGACCUGAGAGGCUGCCACAAGGACGCCCCAUGAGAUAGGAGGGGCCAGUCGAGCCCUCUUGACCUGUUGCCUGCAGAUUUCGAGAUCACUUAUUUAUGUUGCUGAUCAACAGCUAUAACUUAAAGCUUCUAGACAGUAGAAAAACUUCAAAAUUCAAUCUGUUUUUGCAAAAUUGGAAAGCCACAGGAAACGUAUAAACCAAAGUUUGACUGGAACUUGCAACAAGUACUCAGUCCCUCCGUGGGAGCACCAUAGAAGAGCAGAGACCCCGGCUUCUGAGCCAGAUGACAGAUGCUUCCCCUGCCCCAGCUGGUGGUUGUGCUUGUCACUGACUACUUGGGUGAUUCCUGCCGUUUGUAUGCUUCUCCGGCUGUGUGGGAGACACACUUCACCUUGUGGCUCCGUUCUACAAAGGUUCCGUUUGCCGCCUGGAAGAGCAGUCGACUGUGCCGAUCGGGAACGUCUCAUCGCACCCCUUUUCCACGCCAUCUGUCUGACCUGGACCCAUUCCAAACACUAUGGCUUUGCUGGCAGAAUGGUCUUCCUGCUACAGAAGUUUUGUAAUCUGCUAAUUGACAGGGCAUCCCGUUUGUGCGCGAUCACGCACUCUCCCCUGUGUUCUCUGCCUCAUUGAGAAUAUGGCAUCCUUUGGAGAAGAACACCGAUAUGAUCUACCAGAGAAUUAUCCUCUACUUAGUUUACUCAUUAAGCAAUGAUUUUAUUAUUAUUAUCUCUUUGUAGCAUGAGACAGAUGGCAAAGAAGGAGUUUGCUUUGCUGAACGAGAUGCAGUGUUGGGCAUAGCAAAUCUCCCGCAUGGUUAGUAUCUUGGGUCAUCAUUCUGCCUAAAGAAUGUCUUUGCUUUUGUACAAGGAGUGGUCCUACACUCCCCUUUUAAUUUUAAUGCAAAAUUGUUAUCAGUCCUUUGUGCACAGAGGCUAAGGGGAGAAGAAUCUGAGAGAAGGCAAUACCAUUAAAAUCAUGCUGUUCAAGUUCA
Long non-coding RNA from Mustela lutreola (European mink), 2108 nucleotides. RefSeq lists it as uncharacterized. NCBI's taxonomy places the organism in Eukaryota, Metazoa, Chordata, Mammalia, Carnivora, Mustelidae. The record is from RefSeq and is a predicted model, not a curated record. The transcript is spliced from 5 exons.